RNAcentral lists this ribosomal RNA (254 nucleotides) under uncultured bacterium. RNAcentral's name for it is "partial 16S ribosomal RNA". It matches the Rfam family "Bacterial small subunit ribosomal RNA", at positions 524 to 776 of the family's 1533-position model. The record is from RNAcentral.
UACGUAGGGGGCGAGCGUUGUCCGGAUUCAUUGGGCGUAAAGAGCUCGUAGGCGGCUUGGCAAGUCGGGUGUGAAACCUCCAGGCUCAACCUGGAGACGCCACCCGAGACUGCUAAGGCUAGAGUCCGGUAGGGGAUCACGGAAUUCCUGGUGUAGCGGUGAAAUGCGCAGAUAUCAGGAGGAACACCGGUGGCGAAGGCGGUGAUCUGGGCCGGCACUGACGCUGAGGAGCGAAAGCGUGGGUAGCAAACAGG